RNAcentral lists this ribosomal RNA (492 nucleotides) under uncultured bacterium. RNAcentral describes it as "partial 16S ribosomal RNA". It matches the Rfam family "Bacterial small subunit ribosomal RNA", at positions 29 to 507 of the family's 1533-position model. The record is from RNAcentral.
AGUGAACGCUGGCGGUAUGCCUAACACAUGCAAGUCGAACGGCAGCACAGUAAGAGCUGGCUCUUACGGGUGUCGAGUGGCGGACGGGUGAGGAAUACAUCGGAAUCUACUUUGUCGGGGGGGAUAACGUAGGGAAACGUACGCGAAUACCGCAUACGACCUACGGGUGAAAGCAGGGGAUCUUCGGACCUGGCGCGAUGGAAUGAGCCGAUGUCGGAUUAGCUAGUUGGCGGGGUAAAGGCGCAACAAGGCGACGAUCCGUAGAUGGUCUGAGAGGGUGAACCGACACAUUGGCACUGAGGAACGUCCCACACACCUACAGGGGGACGCAGCGCAGACUAUUGCACGAUGCGGGAGAGCGUAAUACAGGACUACCGCGUGAGUGCAGAACGACUUCGGGUUGUAAAGCCCUUUUGUUGGGAAAGAAAAACAGCAGGUUUAUCCCCCGUUGUUCUGACGGUACCCAAAGAAUAAGCACCGGCUAACUUCGUG